UACGUAGGGUGCAAGCGUUGUCCGGAAUUAUUGGGCGUAAAGAGCUCGUAGGCGGUUUGUCGCGUCGGCUGUGAAAACCUGGGGCUCAACCCCGGGCCUGCAGCCGAUACGGGCAAACUAGAAUUCGGUAGGGGAGACUGGAAUUCCUGGUGUAGCGGUGAAAUGCGUAGAUAUCAGGAGGAACACCGGUGGUGUAGACGGCUUUCUGGACCGUAACUGACGCUGAGACACGAAAGCGUGGGUAGCAAACAGG
RNAcentral lists this ribosomal RNA (253 nucleotides) under uncultured bacterium. RNAcentral's name for it is "partial 16S ribosomal RNA". It matches the Rfam family "Bacterial small subunit ribosomal RNA", at positions 524 to 776 of the family's 1533-position model. The record is from RNAcentral.